GUAUAAUGAUGAAAUCCAUGCGUGUCAACUGACUCUGUAAACCGCUGGUGUGUUGGUCCUCUUGGUGGCGUUUUGCUGCCUUGAGUCUUCAGCACAUCAAGGUUGCAGAGACAUGAUCAUACCUCACUACUUCUGAAUAC
This is a small nucleolar RNA of Centropristis striata (black sea bass), 140 nucleotides long. RefSeq annotates it as small nucleolar RNA SNORD10. Lineage: Eukaryota; Metazoa; Chordata; Actinopteri; Perciformes; Serranidae. The record is from RefSeq and is a predicted model, not a curated record. The transcript has a single exon.